GCUAGCCCUUGGUUCCGUCCAUGAAUUGUUGUAGAUUUUGAUUUCUGGGAUUUGUGAUUUGUUUUUGGUGUCCUUGAGAAGAACGCUGUUCUUUUGAAGAGCAAAUGAGCAGUCACAAGAUGGUCUAUUGCGAGAGAGUGUCCUAUAAUGUUCUAAUUGCAUCAAAACAAAAUAUCCUUGAGCAUAUAAAGCUUGAUUUGCUGCCACCAAAUUGUUGUUAGCUAAUAUUUGAUAUAUUGGUGAGAACACAUGACCUCAACCAGGAAAAUCUUGAAAAUUUCUGAAAGUGCUAUUUUUUGACGGAAUAGAAGCUUUUACCAACUUAAGUAACCUUGUAAAUUUGAAUCUUGAGAGGUGCUCAAGAAUUCAUGGGGGAAUAAUUCAUUUGAGAGGUAUAACUAAACUUAAGUUUCUUUUAUUAAGUACUGUAAUAGUGUGACAGAUGAAGGCAAGUUGCCUCUUUCAGGUUUGCAUGAACUUUCUCAUCUAGACUUGCAAGGAUGCCCUGUGAUUGCUGCUUCAUUUGGAAUUAUCUCAGGGUUAAUUGAGACCUUGAAUUUGGAUCCUUGCAAAAUUAGUUGUGAAGGUCUGUUGAACAUCAAAGGUGAGUGUAACAAUUCCACAUUAAGGUUAGCAAUAUGUUAGGUGCGUUCAAAUUUCUUCAUUUGCUCCAGUCUCCAUUUUGUGCAUAUCUUGAGCUCGAUAUCCAUCACUGAAUAGUGUGACAACUAUCAUAAUUAUCCUGAGAAUCUGCAAGUCCUUCUUUGCAUGCUUCCAUCUGUUGUUGCAGGACUGACAUCAUUGAGAACUUUGGAAUUGUCAGAAACUGGAGUGAAAAGCGAAGUGGUCAGUCAUCUUUCUGGUUUGCCCUUUCAUUGAAUUUCACAUACAAAAAAUACAUAAUUCAUAUGUAUCAUUCUUUGAGGUUGACUUAUAUGUAGUGAACAAUCGCGUGCCAUUUCAGUUUGUAGAGUUUGCUAUUCAUUGCGUUAGUUUUGUAGGAUUGCCAUUCUCACUAGUAUUUCAUUGCUUUGAUGAUUUUGUGAUUAUCCUGUCCCUACUAUGAAUAUCAGUCCAAGUUGUAUUGUACAUAUAACAACUUGAUCACAAUUUCUGAUAAAGUUGAACAGUUUUUUUUUCAUUUAAAGAUGUUUUCUUCUAUGGGAAUUAAUGCUCUGAAAGUUACAACAGUCUAGAAUUCAUUAUACCUAUUACUAAAAGUUAUACAGGCCCUUAGCAAUAGGAGGGAUUGGUGAAGGUUUGUUUUGAUGAUUACCAAAUGAAUGAGAGCUAAUUUAUAUUCUAUUAAAUCUUGAAUUUGGUGCAUUCAUAUUGUUAUAGGCAGUCAUUAUAACUAAGGCUAAGGCUGACCCUUUUAGUGGUCAACUAAGAAAAAGAGGUGGUUAAAGAAUGUCUUCUUUCAGAAGAAUUUGGCAUGGAUGAUAACUUUGGAAAUAAAAAGCUAGUAAGUACCUCUAGUACCUUAUGUUUUUCUGUUAUUGUCCUGUUUUUAUUAUUGUUUCAAGCUUCAAGGUGCAAUAACAGUAACUUAAGUCUUAAGAGAUACCAGUUUCAAUAUAUUUUUUACUUAAGCUGUGAAUCUAGUUUUAAUAUCCAUUUAUGCAUGUGAAGAAGAUAAUGCUUUUAGAACUUCUGUUUGGUUAUGGUUUAUUAGAGAUAUAUCAUUUAACAAAUGCGAAUUGUGAUGUAUAUUUUGCGAAAUUAUACUUAUGUUUGUGGAAAUAUUGAAUUGUUUGGUAUUAUUACUUCAUUCAGCCAUAUUUGUGAAAAUUAAACUUCCAGUAUUAUAGUGUGAGCCAUAAGUUCUGUUGCUUGCUUGAAUAAUACAUUGUGUUAGCUGCUUAAGUCAUCAAUCCAGUAGUUAUUCAUGCUCCUAGUUUCAUUAUUGUCUUCUUCUUCUUCUUCUUUUUAAUCAAUAAAUGAUGUAUCUGUUCGAUCAUAGCAUUGAGGAAAACACAUUGACUAGUCAUUUUCAAAAAGACAUCAGCACAUAGGGAAAUUAGGGUCAGCAGAUGAUGGCAACAUUGCACAACCACCAUUCUGUAUUGUUCGCGCACUUCAACAGGUUGCUAAAUACAAUGUAAGGAUCUCCAGUAAGUAAAACGAACCAAUUGCUUGAAAGGAGUUUGGCUGUUGGUUCAUUUUUCCUUUCCUUUCUGAAAACCUGAAGAUAGGUCUUUGAUAUGUUGUUUAUGACAAUUUUCCUUUUAGUCAAUGAUGCAGCUUUAUAAUAUGCUGUUCACUUGGUUCCAUAAAUUGUCAAAUUCAAUGUAUUUGAAGAUAGCACUUGUAUGAUUAGCCUGAUUUAUUUGCUUUGUGUAGA
Molecule: RNA transcript, 2344 nt
Organism: Dioscorea cayenensis subsp. rotundata (Guinea yam)
Lineage: Eukaryota; Viridiplantae; Streptophyta; Magnoliopsida; Dioscoreales; Dioscoreaceae
Exons: 6
Source: RefSeq, a predicted model, not a curated record